This 396-nucleotide long non-coding RNA is filed under the name Cyanistes caeruleus (blue tit). Its description in RNAcentral is "lncRNA (ENSCCEG00000016723.1)". Lineage: Eukaryota; Metazoa; Chordata; Aves; Passeriformes; Paridae. The record is from RNAcentral.
GCUGCCACUGCUCUACAAUGGCAAAGUGAGCCAUUUCCCUGUUUGGCAGAUGUGGCAGGGAGGUGAUGGAAGAGACGCACUUAGGGAAGCAGGAUUGUAACUGAGGUGCUAGAGGACUCCUCCGAACCCCAUAGUGGGAAGUGAGUAGCUUCUACUCUGGUUCUUUGCCACGAAGCAGCACCCUGUGAGCAGAAUUUCAGAGAAGGGAAAUUUGCUUAGCCAGCAAGAAAAGGCAUAGCUUGGAAAUAUCUUUCCAAGGACUGCCAGUGCCCAAGCAGUGAUUUGGUUCCCACAUCCUGCUCAUCCGAUGUGAGACCUGCUCUUGUUUUGCAUGGCAAGAACUGGCAGAGCAGGCUAGGAGCACUGAGCCUGCCUUCUGCUUCACCUCCAGAGCUC